UUGACAUGGAACGGUUCCGCAAAGCGAUCAAAAAAAUCCUGGGAGAACUUUCUGAUGAAGAUGUGGACGUCAUUUUCAUGAAGGUGGACGCCAACUGUGAUGGCUCCGUGGACUGGGAGGAGUACCUGAAUUACAUGCUCCGGGAAUAUCGUGGGAAGGACGACAUGCUGAAGAGCAAGUGGCUUCCAGAGUUCCAGACAAACAUGAAAAGCAUCUCGGUGUCGCACUCGGAGGACAUCGUCCGGAUCCAGUUUUUCCCGAGCCAGGCUCGGGGCGUGAUGGACCACAGGG
Ahaetulla prasina is the source of this 291-nucleotide long non-coding RNA. RefSeq lists it as uncharacterized. NCBI's taxonomy places the organism in Eukaryota, Metazoa, Chordata, Lepidosauria, Squamata, Colubridae. The transcript is spliced from 3 exons. The record is from RefSeq and is a predicted model, not a curated record.